This 494-nucleotide ribosomal RNA is filed under the name uncultured bacterium. RNAcentral describes it as "partial 16S ribosomal RNA". It matches the Rfam family "Bacterial small subunit ribosomal RNA", at positions 28 to 507 of the family's 1533-position model. The record is from RNAcentral.
GACGAACGCUGGCGGCGUGCUUAACACAUGCAAGUCGAACGGAAAGGCCUGCUUUCCCUUGUGGAUUGCGGGUACUCGAGUGGCGAACGGGUGAGUAACACGUGAGUGAUCUGCCCCCAACUUGGGUAUAAGCCUGGGAAACUGGGUCUAAUUCCCGAUAGGACUGCAGGGUGGUGCCUGUGGUGGAAAACGAUUUUCUAGUGGUUGGGGAUGAGCUCGCGGCCUAUCAGCUUGUUGGUGGGGUAAUGGCCUACCAAGGCGGCGACGGGUAGCCGGCCUGAGAGGGGGGACGGCCACAUUGGGACUGAGAUACGGCCCAGACUCCUACGGGAGGCAGCAGUGGGGAAUAAUGCACAAUGGGCGGAAGCCUGAUGCAGCGACGCCGCGUGGGGGAUGACGGGCUUCGGGUGGUAAACUCCUUUCGACCGCGAGGAAGCCACCUGGUUGGAAGGGUGGUGACGGUAGUGGUAGAAGAAGCACCGGCUAACUACGUG